This 314-nucleotide unclassified non-coding RNA is filed under the name Hevea brasiliensis (rubber tree). Lineage: Eukaryota; Viridiplantae; Streptophyta; Magnoliopsida; Malpighiales; Euphorbiaceae. The record is from RNAcentral.
UAAUUAUGAAUUUAUUAUUUAUUUCAUAAUAAUAGUAUGUCUAGGAGAUUUUAGAAAAUAAAUGUAAAUAAGUCUUCAAUUUUGUAUUUAUUCCAAACAUGAUUUUGUGGAAUUUAAUUCAAAUAAAUAUUUUAAAUUUCAGCAUAUCAAAUAUGAAAAUUCAUUUGCAAAUGAAUUCACUUAAAUUCAUUUACAAAUGAAUUCUACAUUUUGAAUUUCAGCAUGCCAAAUGGAUUUACCCUGCUCUCUAUGCUAUAGACAUGUUUUCACUGAACCUACAAUUCUGAUUAGCAAAUUAUGCAGUACUGCUGGUG